RNAcentral lists this ribosomal RNA (508 nucleotides) under uncultured bacterium. RNAcentral's name for it is "bacterial SSU rRNA". It matches the Rfam family "Bacterial small subunit ribosomal RNA", at positions 24 to 518 of the family's 1533-position model. The record is from RNAcentral.
UCAGGAUGAACGCUAGCGAUAGGCUUAACACAUGCAAGUCGAGGGCAGCACGGUGUAGCAAGUACACUGGUGGCGACCGGCGUACGGGUGCGUAACACGUAUCGCAACCUACCCGGCUAUUGGGGGGACUAACCCGGCGAAAGUCGGACUAAUACCCCAUAUUAUUCUUACCGGGCAUCCGGUAGGUCUGAAAGAUUUAUCGAUUGCGGAUGGGCAUGCGGAUGAUUAGCUAGUAGGUGGGGUAACGGCUCACCUAGGCGACGAUCAUUAGGGGUUCUGAGAGGAAGGUCCCCCACACUGGAACUGAGACACGGUCCAGACUCCUACGGGAGGCAGCAGUGAGGAAUAGUUGGUCAAUGGGCGCUAGCCUGAACCAGCCAAGUCGCGUGAAGGAUGACAGUAAUCUAUGGUUUGUAAACCUCUUUUGCAGGGGAGUAAAGUGCGACACGUGUGUUGUAUUGCAAGUACCCUGCGAAUAAGCAUCGGCUAACUCCGUGCCAGCAGCAGC